AAAUUGAAGAGUUUGAUCAUGGCUCAGAUUGAACGCUGGCGGCAGGCCUAACACAUGCAAGUCGAACGUUAACAGGAAUCAGCUUGCUGAUUCGCUGACGAGUGGCGGACGGGUGAGUAAUGUCUGGGAAACUGCCUGAUGGAGGGGGAUAACUACUGGAAACGUUAGCUAAUACCGCAUAACGUCGCAAGACCAAAGAGGGUGACCUUCGGGCCUC
This 217-nucleotide ribosomal RNA is filed under the name Escherichia coli. Its description in RNAcentral is "partial 16S ribosomal RNA". It matches the Rfam family "Bacterial small subunit ribosomal RNA", at positions 1 to 216 of the family's 1533-position model. Lineage: Bacteria; Pseudomonadati; Pseudomonadota; Gammaproteobacteria; Enterobacterales; Enterobacteriaceae. The record is from RNAcentral.